UAUUGGGCAAUGGGGGAAACCCUGACGCAGCAACGCCGCGUGAUUGAUGAAGCCCUUCGGGGUGUAAAGAUCUGUCAGUGGGGACGAAACUUGACGGUACCCACAGAGGAAGCACCGGCUAACUCCGUGCCAGCAGCCGCGGUAAUACGGAGGGUGCAAGCGUUGUCCGGAAUCAUUGGGCGUAAAGAGUUCGUAGGUGGUUUGUUAAGUUUGGUGUUAAAUUCAGAGGCUCAACUUCUGUUCGGCAUCGGAUACUGGCAGACUAGAAUGCGGUAGAGGUAAAGGGAAUUCCUGGUGUAGCGGUGAAAUGCGUAGAUAUCAGGAGGAACAUCGGUGGCGUAAGCGCUUUACUGGGCCGUAAUUGACACUGAGGAACGAAAGCCAGGGUAGCAAAUGGG
Molecule: ribosomal RNA, 398 nt
Filed under: uncultured bacterium
Lineage: Bacteria
Description: bacterial SSU rRNA
Rfam family: Bacterial small subunit ribosomal RNA
Source: RNAcentral